RNAcentral lists this non-coding RNA (28 nucleotides) under Bombyx mori (domestic silkworm). Lineage: Eukaryota; Metazoa; Arthropoda; Insecta; Lepidoptera; Bombycidae. The record is from RNAcentral.
UCCUCAUAAGUGGUGUAUUGCUUAAGCC